This 439-nucleotide ribosomal RNA is filed under the name uncultured bacterium. RNAcentral's name for it is "partial 16S ribosomal RNA". It matches the Rfam family "Bacterial small subunit ribosomal RNA", at positions 338 to 795 of the family's 1533-position model. The record is from RNAcentral.
CCUACGUGCGACAGCAGUGGGGGAUAUUGCACAAUGGGGGAAACCCUGAUGCAGCGACGCCGCGUGAGUGAAGAAGUAGUUCGGUAUGUAAAGCUCUAUCAGCAGGGAAGAAAAUGACAGUACCUGACCAAGAAGCCCCGGCCAACUACGUGCCAGAAGGCGCGGUACUACGUAGGGGGCCAGCGUUAUCCGGAUUUACUGGGUGUAAAGGGAGCGUAGACGGUUCUGUAGUCUGGAGUGAAAGCCCGGGGGCCAACCCCGGGACUGCCUUGGAAACUGUGUAACUGGAGUACAGGAGGGGCAUGCGGAAUUCGUGGUGUAGCGGUGAAAUGCGUAGAUAUCAGGAGGAACACCGGCGGCGAAGGCGGCCUGCUGGACUGAAACUGACGCUGAGGCUCGAAAGCGUGGGGAGCAAACAGGAUUAGAUACCCCUGUAGUC